RNAcentral lists this small RNA (116 nucleotides) under Pantoea sp. GD03673. Its description in RNAcentral is "RtT sRNA". It matches the Rfam family "RtT RNA". Rfam says of the family: This family represents a bacterial cis-regulatory element known as RtT RNA. The exact function of RtT is unknown although it is thought that it may be involved in changing the cellular response in relation to amino acid starvation. Lineage: Bacteria; Pseudomonadati; Pseudomonadota; Gammaproteobacteria; Enterobacterales; Erwiniaceae. The record is from RNAcentral.
UUUUCGUCUGUCAAAAAGAGGAUGAGGACCUCCGAAGGAGGUUUGAGCCGAGCGUAGCGAGACAACGUUGCUUCAGCAACGGCCCGUAGGGCAAGGUAAUCCUCUCUCGCCGACCA